GCGGUAAUACGGAGGAUCCGAGCGUUAUCCGGAUUUAUUGGGUUUAAAGGGUGCGUAGGCGGCCUAUUAAGUCAGGGGUGAAAUACGGUGGCUCAACCAUCGCGUGCCUUUGAUACUGAUGGGCUUGAAUCCAUUUGAAGUGGGCGGAAUAAGACAAGUAGCGGUGAAAUGCAUAGAUAUGUCUUAGAACUCCGAUUGCGAAGGCAGCUCACUAAGCUGGUAUUGACGCUGAUGCACGAAAGCGUGGGGAUCGAACAGGAUUA
RNAcentral lists this ribosomal RNA (263 nucleotides) under Sphingobacterium detergens. Its description in RNAcentral is "partial 16S ribosomal RNA". It matches the Rfam family "Bacterial small subunit ribosomal RNA", at positions 517 to 780 of the family's 1533-position model. Lineage: Bacteria; Pseudomonadati; Bacteroidota; Sphingobacteriia; Sphingobacteriales; Sphingobacteriaceae. The record is from RNAcentral.